RNAcentral lists this transfer RNA (91 nucleotides) under Nitrososphaerota archaeon. RNAcentral describes it as "Thaumarchaeota archaeon tRNA-Val". It matches the Rfam family "tRNA". From Rfam's summary of the family: Transfer RNA (tRNA) molecules are approximately 80 nucleotides in length. The record is from RNAcentral. Lineage: Archaea; Thermoproteati; Nitrososphaerota.
GGGCCGGUCGUCUAGCAUGGUUAGGACGUCAGGUCAAUCCCGCCAAGCCCUUACACGGCGAAGGUCGGCGGUCCGAAUCCGCCCCGGCCCA